GGUGUGCAUGGCUAGGCCGGGGGGUUGGGCGUCCCCUGUAACCCGAAAUCGCCCUUAUGCGGGGGCCGAAAACUUGGGGGCGGUAUACUCUCCCGUCCUCUCCUUCCCAGGCCUCUCGAUGAGGUCUCGUCCCGUGGGGCUCGGCGGAGGGGGAGUCCCUCCUGUAGGGGAGGGAUAACCCCCUUUACCUGCCGAACCCCGCCAGGCCCGGAAGGGAGCAACGGUAGGCAGGACGUCGGCGCUCACGGGGGUGCGGGACGGAGAAGAGGUCUGGGGUCAAGGAGAGGUCUGGGAGAGAUACCCACCCCAAGGAAGCCAUGCACACCACUUUU
RNAcentral lists this signal recognition particle RNA (332 nucleotides) under Methanocaldococcus vulcanius M7. It matches the Rfam family "Archaeal signal recognition particle RNA". The record is from RNAcentral. Lineage: Archaea; Methanobacteriati; Methanobacteriota; Methanococci; Methanococcales; Methanocaldococcaceae.